This is a long non-coding RNA of Neofelis nebulosa (Clouded leopard), 702 nucleotides long. RefSeq lists it as uncharacterized. Lineage: Eukaryota; Metazoa; Chordata; Mammalia; Carnivora; Felidae. The transcript has 2 exons. The record is from RefSeq and is a predicted model, not a curated record.
GGGGGGGGGCCGGCCGGCCACUGCGUACAAGUGAGACAAAGUCAGGGCCACAGCGAGGGGAAGUGUGAGUUCAUCGCACCGAAGAAUCUCCUCAAUAGACUUCUGCGGCCAUCACAAGAUGUUUAGCGGGAGGUUUUCUGGUAGAACACUGGCUCCGUAAUACUAAGUCGAUGCUGGAUUUACGGGAGCACUGAUUUGCAAGGCAUUGUGGGAGAAAGGUACACAGGUAUAUACCUCAAGGAUCCCUGACCCGAGGAGUUUACCAACCGAUGGGGAGAUUAAGAGACCAGAAAUUAUCUUCAAAUCCUACUUUGAUUUGUAAAAUGAGACUCCUGAACUUUUGGGUUCUUCAAGAUACUAAAACUCUCCUCCUUAACUUCUCCCACCGAUCUCAACCAAAAAAAAAAAAAAAAAAAAAUCUCGUACAGAGACAGUAACAGUGGUCAAAAUAUAUUUUGGGAUGCUGACAGGAAUGUGGGGUUACUGGAAGAAGCACUGGACUAGGAUUCCAAGACUUGAGCUUCUAGUCCUGGCCAAGCCUCUUAAUCGCCUAUGACCUUAGAAGAAACCUGGAUUCUUUCUAAACCUCCCCUGUCAGACAGGGAUAAUUAAUGCCUACCUUUACGAGGUCAAUGAGGGAAUGAUGUAAAAAUACCCUGACAAUGAUGAUACCAUUCAAAUAGAAGUGUAUUUUUCAAAAUA